RNAcentral lists this ribosomal RNA (198 nucleotides) under uncultured bacterium. Its description in RNAcentral is "partial 16S ribosomal RNA". It matches the Rfam family "Bacterial small subunit ribosomal RNA", at positions 328 to 539 of the family's 1533-position model. The record is from RNAcentral.
ACGCUCGACACCUACGGGAGACAGCGGUGGGGAAUAUUGCACAAUGGAGGAAACUCUGAUGCAGCGAUGCCGCGUGAGGGAAGAAGGUUUUCGGAUUGUAAACCUCUGUCUUUGGGGACGAUAAUGACGGUACCCAAGGAGGAAGCUCCGGCUAACUACGUGCCGGCAGCCGCGGUAAUCUGAGCGGGCUGGCAAGGC